GACGAACGCUGGCGGCGUGCUUAACACAUGCAAGUCGAACGAAGUGGCGAACGGGUGAGUAACGCGUAAUCAACCUGCCCUUCAGAGGGGGACAACAGUUGGAAACGACUGCUAAUACCGCAUACUGAAGGAGGGGAUUGCGUCUGGUUAGCUGGUUGGAGGGGUAACGGCCCACCAAGGCGAUGAUCAGUAGCCGGUCUGAGGGGAGUAACGGGCACCAUGGGACCGCGACACGGCCCAAACUCCGACGGGAGGCAGCAGUGGGGAAUCGUCCGAAAUUGACGGAAGUCUGACGGAGCAACGCCGCGUGAGUGAUGACGGCCUUCGGGUUGUAAAGCUCUGUUAAUCGGGACGCGGUACCGGAAUAGAAAGCCACGGCUAACUACGUGCCAGCAGCCGCGGUAAUUC
This 408-nucleotide ribosomal RNA is filed under the name uncultured bacterium. RNAcentral describes it as "partial 16S ribosomal RNA". It matches the Rfam family "Bacterial small subunit ribosomal RNA", at positions 28 to 526 of the family's 1533-position model. The record is from RNAcentral.